Long non-coding RNA from Columba livia (rock pigeon), 1193 nucleotides. RefSeq lists it as uncharacterized. Lineage: Eukaryota; Metazoa; Chordata; Aves; Columbiformes; Columbidae. The transcript is spliced from 3 exons. The record is from RefSeq and is a predicted model, not a curated record.
UUCUUGUCUUUGGGCCAUUUCUGGUCAGGGCUGAUUGUGGCGUUGUCCUGGGCUGUGCCGGCAGCUCUAGCCAUCCAGUCUCAGGGACUGGAACUUCAAGAUGCUGGGAAGAAGUUCUUAGGUUUUUCAUCAGCUUCUCGUUUGGUUGCGACGUCUCUGCUCGGUUGUGGCGCUGCCGCCGUCUCGUCAGGAGCCGUGACGUCGGGCUCCUUUUCCGUUUGAGGAUGCAGGAGAGGCUCCUCUCCUCCCCGUAGAUUAUUGGGAUCGAUGCCCGUCUGGUCUCGGAGCGUCGUGUUCGUCGUGGAGCGUUUUUGGCGCUGUGGCCGUCGCGUGGUCUAUAAGGUUCUGCGGAGCGUCUGUCGGCCCGGGUGCGCGAUUGGCUCGGAGCUGCUCUGCCCGGACGCGUAGAGGCAGGGGAGGGUGGACGGAGCUCUGGCGGUCCCCGGUUAACCUGCUGACGCGUUGAAUUGCGUGGGCAGAGGCGGCGCGGUCAUCUGGGAUGGAGUAGCCGUGGGCAGGGGAGCGGAGGGUCCCCGCGCAGGCGUUUGAGAGCCUCCACGAGAGCUUGGGACGUUCUUGCGCCACAGAAAGCAGACCUGUGGGCUGGUCAGGCUGUCGAUGGGCUGCUGGGUGACUUGCAGAAUCACCUGAUUUCAGGAGCAGAGGGACAACUUGGCCCGGAAGAGCGCCGGAGGAGGCGAGCUGUGCGCCGUAAGCAGGUGCGAAGCGAAGAGGAAAGCGGGCUGUCGGCAGCGCAGCUCCUCGGGCCAGGCGGCAGCUGAGCGUCUCGGCGGUCUGCGGCGUGGCAGUCAAAAGCAAGGGCGGCCGGGUGGGCGAGCGGCCCAGGUAAGGGAGGGCGAGCUGGGACCGUCUGCGGGCAGGCUGUGUUUUCGGGCGGCGUCCGAGCGCGUGCCUCUGGUUUUGCGGGUGCCGCAGACGAGCCGGCAGGGGCGAAGCCGCACGCCGGCCGGCAGCCGAGAAGGUGAGGCGGCGGUGGGCGUUGAGGAGCCCGGUAUUGCCCGGUCUCUCACUUCAUCUUUUCCUUCUCGCUUUGCAGGCGCUUUGUGGGCCCUCUGGACCGGGAGGAGCAUUUGCGGUGAGCCGGGCUAGGGGCGAGGAGGAGCGUGGGGCCGGGGACUCGUUCCCGGCGCCACGGUUUUUUUUUGCUUCUCGCCGUCGUAGGCGUCACCAGC